UAUUGUACUUUGAUGUUUCCAGAUUUUUUUUCAAAAAGGCUUUUAAGUAUCAUUUAUUGAAUUAUAACAAAAGAAUGAGCAAAAGUCUAUGUGCCGAUUAGCUUUGUAAUAGAACUAAUAGAUUCAAGUUAGCCCUACCUUACCCACUUCCAAAAAAAUAAUUUAAAAAAAAUUCCUUGGUUUCAUAAUAUGUAUUUAUUGACACAUUUCAAUUGAUUAUUCUACAGUUCCAAAAGUACCUGUGAGAAAUGGCAGGGUAUCAGUAAUAAAUUUGACUGAGCACGUUGAUCAGGAAAAGGUUACCAUGUAGCAGCUGACGCAUGGUAGCUGCCCCUGUGCAUCCUCUCAGCCUCUAACAAGCAGCUGGCAGUUGGAGUGGGCUCAGCCCCCCGUGCAGGUGGGUGAGGGGAGAUUGCCUCACCUUGUGUUUGCUGUGGGGAGAUAUUGAGCAUGCAGGCAGUUCCUGCAGCUCAGAAGAAACUUGAUAUCUUGUGGUAUCUUGUUUGUGUGUAUAAGCCAUGGAUGUGCAUGCCUUGCUAGUUCUGUUAACAAUUGAAAACAAAUGUUUAUUUAAAUUUAUUUACACAUCCCACACACAGAUUGAGUGUAGGUGUGCUGGCAGGAGUGAGACUUUAGGAAGGCUUUCAUAAAGGUGAAGGAAAUGGCUUAGCAGCUAGGUUUCAAGGAGACUCCCCAAAUGCAAGGAGCAACGUGAGACUGUGGAGGCAUUUGUGAUGGUAUCGAGGUAGGCACUGCUGGCAGAGCAGGUGCAGUUUGUGAGGCAGGGGAGCUGACCUCAGUUUCGGAGGUUGGAAUAUUGCUGAAGAUCUAAAUUCCACAUUACUUCAGAACAUGAGCACGACUGAAAAGUAAGCUAGCUGUGUUUUCCAAGAACUGUUUGAUCCAAAGUGGGCAAAACCAUCUUAGAAACAUGAGAAAAAAAGAAAAGGAUAAUGGGCCAGUGUUCAAGACAUGAAUCCACAUUAUGCAUUCCACAAUGUGAUGUGUCAGAGCAAAAAGUCCUAAGCUGGUUUAUCCUCUAAUUGUUCUGGGUUUGUGCAAAAGUCAGUCCCAGAAGUGAAACUUGUGCAGACAACCCCUUCCUCACUUACUUUGCUCAGUCUCAUAAAUGACACUAACUAUCAGCUUUGCUUCCAGAGGUUUUCCAGACCUCUGCUGUUUCUUUUUGGUCUGCCUGUAUUUGUCUGCUAUUUUUCUCUAGGUCGACAUACUCAAAGCAGAGCCUAAGAAUGUGAAGAUUAUCCACUUCCAGUAUCUUCUCUUCAUGGACAGACUCGUAUAGUAUCUGCUGAUGAAUGACAGCUUAUUGUUCUUUCUCAUUAUAGUAACAUGUAAAUCUACUGACUGUGACUAGGGAAACUGGGAGCUUGUUUGCCCUAUAAACUUUCUCAAGUGCCUGCUGGAGGCACAGUGUGUUUCCCCAAUCACUGUGCUUCACCAGCAAUUUCUGAGAAUGCAAAACAAACAAAUAAUCCUAAUGUGCAUAGCACGUUACAGGCAGGAAGGAUAUGUUUUAAUGUAAAUUGACUUAAAAGUUCUCAGGCUGAAUUGCCUGAAGUGGUUAGGAGUUAGCUGAUGGUGUAUAAUAGCUGCUCAGGUUUUUUCUUGCUUCUUGGUGCAGACAGCAUUGAUUGGCUGGACUGAUUAUAGCCCUACACGUCAAAAAGGUGCAAGUUGUUCUUAACGCUAGAAAAUCGGCUCUUGUGUGAGCAGGCUUAAUGCAUGAUAAGCUAUAUGGUGUAGACAUAAAUUUUGUGUGCUUGAAACUGACGUGAACUUUGCUUGUAUAACAUAGCCAUGUAGAUAUGGCCAAUAGCUGUUAGUUUUUGUUGCAGCUCAUAUUUAUUGCUUGUAUUUAAAGUAAAAAUCAGUACCAUGCAAUUUUAUACAAUUCGGGGGAAAAAAAAAAAAAAAAAAAAAAAAUGAAUUGUCCUUCUGCCAAAGUUUAAGUGCUACAUUUUUUCAUUAGAAUUUAGCAAAUGUUCAUCUUAAAAUAGACUGACAAUGGGUCAAACUGCUCCACUUUAUCUGUUAUGAACUUAAAAUUUAUCAAAGCUAGUACUCACUCUUCCCAGAACAAUUUGUAUUUUUGAUCCUGGAUUUAACUAUCAAAUUCUCCUUUGAAACUACUGUUUAUUAGACAUAAUAUCCUAAAAUAUUUGAAAAAGAUGACUGCAAGUCUUCCGUUUUCACCUCUUUCACCUCUUGCAUACGACAUGUUAUGUAUUUGUUUUGGGGUGUUAUUAUUUUUUGUAAAACUUUAUCUCUAAUGCAGAAGUAGUGUAGUUUAUUCAUUGGAUAUUCUUGAAAAAGGUAGCUGCUUCCUUGUCUGAGCUCUGACAUUCCUCUUUAUCUUGGCCAGCAAUGACCAUUCCAUGAAUGCUGUGAAUCAAAGUUUGGAGUAUAAACUAAUUCUUCCUUCUCCCUUAUAUUUGUAUUCCACUUCAUCGUUUGCAGGCCCUCAUCUUGAACAGGGACUCUUCUUGAUGUCAUAAUAUAACUAAUACUAAUACUUGAGGGAUUAGUGUGAUCCAGUAUGAGGAAGGGUAUCUUCAUCUUGCCCUCUUGUGGUAAAGUAUAUUAAAUCCAGGAUUUAAAAAGUAGACUAAGCAUUGAUGGGAUUAAACAUACUACAUAUCUUUAAGGAAGGCACAUUCAUUCUUUAGAGUUUAGUACUAAGUCCCACAUUGAACUAAAUCCAAAAAUGAAAUGUAGAUUCUGGCAUAUCUAAAAACGUUGAGCUGGAUCUCUUGGUUCUUGCUUUGAUGCGGCAAUAUUCUUCUAGUGCCUGAACAACAUCUUGGGUAGAGAUGAAAAUAUAACACAGAGCUUUUUAAUUUCAUUGUGUUAUUUAUAACAAUUGUCUAAGUCAAAUUAGAAGUAAAUGGCUACUAAUCUUUGUGUGUAUGUGUAUGUGUGCCCAACGGUUCCUAAAUGCCACUAAGAAAUUAGAGUAAUUUUGAUAUUAAAAUGAUUACUACCACUUUUGCAAUAAAAUGAUGCGACUUU
Molecule: long non-coding RNA, 3030 nt
Organism: Oxyura jamaicensis (ruddy duck)
Lineage: Eukaryota; Metazoa; Chordata; Aves; Anseriformes; Anatidae
Exons: 4
Source: RefSeq, a predicted model, not a curated record